Xiphophorus hellerii (green swordtail) is the source of this 472-nucleotide long non-coding RNA. RefSeq lists it as uncharacterized. The transcript has 4 exons. The record is from RefSeq and is a predicted model, not a curated record. Lineage: Eukaryota; Metazoa; Chordata; Actinopteri; Cyprinodontiformes; Poeciliidae.
AGCGUGAUGAAGACUCCUCCAGGCCUUCAUCGCCGCAGCUUAUUCUGGCUGCUGCUGCAGCACCCAGACACCAGCGGCCCUCGGGGGCCCGGCGGUGGCAGUCCGACGCCCCUGAAAUCCACGGGGCGUCGGACCGGAGACCCUCGGCUCAAAGAGGUCAAGGAGACGCUGAAGGUCACCAUGGAGACGACCUCAGACGGAGCGCUGGACCGACUCCUCCUCAAGAAAUCAGCCUCCAUUUUGAGCUGCAGGAUGGAAAUAACUUGCUGACUUGUUACUAGAGGCCAGAAGAUGAAAGAUCAGGACAGAGCAGAACCUCCAGGACCCAUCAGUCCAUCUAUGAGGAGUGACCGGUCCAAACAUGAUCCUCCAGACUUCAGUAAUGAACCUGAACCAUCAGACAGAAAGAGGAGGAAGUGUGAAGAAAGACCCAGAACAGGAGCUGAACGGCCGACAGCCAAUCAGAGCAGCU